GGUGCCUACAGCUGUGUGAGUGUGUGCGUGCCCAUGUGUGUGUGCAAGCAGGCCCGUGCGUGUGAGUACGUGGCGGGGGGAGGCUAGGAGCCCCGGGCCCCCCCGUGGCCGUCCUGGCUGCAAGGAUAUCGUCCAGCGCUCAAGCGAAGCUCCAACGCACUCCAAACCCAGGGGUAUUCACUGUAACACAACAGAUUAAGCAAAUAGGACUGGAGAGUCAUUUGGGAUCUUUUUCCUUUCCACACACCCCCUGCGAGGGCAGGGCCUGCCGGGAGAGCCGGGAGAGGCCCCUCUGCUAAGGCAGGCAGAGCGUCACUAGGCACAGCAAUUAUUCUAAAAACAUCUGGAGCAUGAAAUUUUAAAACGCCAGAAUCACAGUGGGUCGAGCCGAUGCCUAGGAUACUCUCUGCACGGUGGCAUAGGAGAGGCCGAGGAGCUUUCCCAGGAGAAAGAAAUCCAGAAAGCACAGAGGAUGGCUUACGGAUCAACACCAUAGAAAGACAACCCGGCCUUUUUGCUUUCUGUUUCACAGAUGCAUUCAAUGGACAUUAAAAAACAGA
This is a long non-coding RNA of Suricata suricatta (meerkat), 560 nucleotides long. RefSeq lists it as uncharacterized. Lineage: Eukaryota; Metazoa; Chordata; Mammalia; Carnivora; Herpestidae. The record is from RefSeq and is a predicted model, not a curated record. The transcript has 3 exons.